UACGUACUCCCUCCGUUCCGAAUUACUUGUCUCAGAAAUGGAUGUAUUUAGAACUAAAAUACAUCUAGAUACAUUCAUUUCUGCGACAACUAAUUCCGAACGGAGGGAGUAGAUC
Triticum aestivum (bread wheat) is the source of this 115-nucleotide non-coding RNA. The record is from Rfam. Lineage: Eukaryota; Viridiplantae; Streptophyta; Magnoliopsida; Poales; Poaceae.